UAUGGCUUAUGGGUGUAUGGUGUCCAGCGCCAGGGACAAGUUUGUUUACCUGUGUGUGGAUGGCGUUCAGCACCAAGGACAGACGUAUUUGCGU
Branchiostoma floridae (Florida lancelet) is the source of this 94-nucleotide non-coding RNA. The record is from Rfam. Lineage: Eukaryota; Metazoa; Chordata; Leptocardii; Amphioxiformes; Branchiostomatidae.